GUGCUUGCUCUGGGAGUACAUAUACUAAGAUUGGCACAAUACAGAGGUUACCAUGGCCCUACUCAAGGGUGACAUGUAAAUUCAUGAAUCAUUCCAUAUUUAA
This 103-nucleotide small nuclear RNA is filed under the name Vulpes vulpes (red fox). The record is from RNAcentral. Lineage: Eukaryota; Metazoa; Chordata; Mammalia; Carnivora; Canidae.